Molecule: ribosomal RNA, 332 nt
Filed under: uncultured bacterium
Lineage: Bacteria
Description: bacterial SSU rRNA
Rfam family: Bacterial small subunit ribosomal RNA
Source: RNAcentral
UGUGUAGGCGGCCGCGCAAGUCGGAUGUGAAAUCCCCGGGCUCAACCCGGGAAGUGCACCCGAAACUGCGUGGCUUGAGUACCGGAGAGGUUGGUGGAAUUCUCGGUGUAGAGGUGAAAUUCGUAGAUAUCGAGAGGAACACCGGUGGCGAAGGCGGCCAACUGGACGAGUACUGACGCUGAGACACGAAAGCGUGGGGAGCAAACAGGAUUAGAUACCCUGGUAGUCCACGCCGUAAACGAUGGGUGCUAGGUGUCACGGGCUUUGACUCCUGUGGUGCCGUAGCCAACGCAUUAAGCACCCCGCCUGGGAAGUACGGCCGCAAGGCUAAA